Molecule: long non-coding RNA, 645 nt
Organism: Ipomoea triloba (trilobed morning glory)
Lineage: Eukaryota; Viridiplantae; Streptophyta; Magnoliopsida; Solanales; Convolvulaceae
Exons: 3
Source: RefSeq, a predicted model, not a curated record
UGAUUAUCUGAAAAUUGAAUUCCUCUCAUUCUCUUCUUCGCCUCUUGCCCUUUCGCGACUUGCCGCCGGCUUCACCUCAUCAUCAAUCGCCAUUCCGCCUCCCCCACCCGCCACAACCAAUCGCUAAACCCCUACCCAGUCCGGCUCUCGCCUCUUCUUCCCAAUCUUCCGUUCGUUGCCGCCGACUGCGAACCGAGACCGCAAACUAGAGGCCGUCGCCAUCGACUGCGAACCGAGACCGCAAACCAGAGGUCGUUGCCGUCGACGGAGAACUAGAGGUGUCUUCAACCGUGCCCGUAGCUCUACCAGUUGGUCCCAAGGGGAUACAAAAUUUCUGGCUGCAGAGGACAAAGAAGAACGAAAACGGGGCAGAUUGCUCAUGUAUCAAAGACAAACUCAACGUAUCGAGUUGAUUAGGAUGCUGCAAAAAAUGCUUUGGUGUAUAAUACUUGCGAGAUGAAGGCUAAAAGAAGACAUGCUGAUUACAUUGUUAGUUAGUGUGGAUUGUUGUUUGUGAAGACUAUUAUAUUGUUAGUUUAGACUUGAAUUGGAUAUUAUUACUUAUUAAAUUUGGAUUGAUAAUGUAUUAUUACUCGAAUUUAAUGUAGAUUGAUAAUGUUUUAGAAUUUUAUAUUUUAGAAUUAA